GAAGAAAAGAGGCGUCCUCCCGUCACUCUCUGGAAGCUGGAUACAUAUGUGACGCGGAAAGUGAUCUGGACGAGAGGGUCUCCGAUGAUGACCUCGACCCAUCCUUUACUGUCUCAACCAGCAAAGCCUCGGGCCCCCACGGCGCCUUCAAUGGGAACUGUGAAGCAAAACUCUCCGUGGUCCCUAAAGUGUCGGGCCUGGAGCGGAGCCAAGAACAGCCCCCGGGGCCCGACCCGCUGCUAGUGCCUUUCCCCCCAAAGGAACCACCGCCUCCACCGGUCCCUCGGCCUCCUGUCUCACCCCCUGCACCCCUGCCGGCCACUCCCAGUCUGCCACCCCCACCCCAGCCCCAGCUGCAGCUUCGGGUCUCACCCUUCGGCCUCCGCACUUCUCCAUAUGGCAGCAGCCUGGACCUCAGCACUGGCAGCUCUUCACGGCCGCCCCCCAAGGCCCCGGCCCCUCCCGUGGCUCAGCCUCCCCCCUCAUCAUCCUCUUC
RNAcentral lists this long non-coding RNA (496 nucleotides) under Homo sapiens (human). Its description in RNAcentral is "long non-coding RNA NONHSAT172865.1". The record is from RNAcentral. Lineage: Eukaryota; Metazoa; Chordata; Mammalia; Primates; Hominidae.